UAUGAUGCAGGCCUUACUAGGUGCAGUU
Molecule: non-coding RNA, 28 nt
Filed under: Mus musculus (house mouse)
Lineage: Eukaryota; Metazoa; Chordata; Mammalia; Rodentia; Muridae
Source: RNAcentral